This 613-nucleotide ribosomal RNA is filed under the name Trichoderma harzianum. RNAcentral describes it as "eukaryotic LSU rRNA". The stretch from base 227 to 380 matches the Rfam family "5.8S ribosomal RNA". Lineage: Eukaryota; Fungi; Ascomycota; Sordariomycetes; Hypocreales; Hypocreaceae. The record is from RNAcentral.
UUGGUGACCAGCGGAGGGAUCAUUACCGAGUUUACAACUCCCAAACCCAAUGUGAACGUUACCAAACUGUUGCCUCGGCGGGAUCUCUGCCCCGGGUGCGUCGCAGCCCCGGACCAAGGCGCCCGCCGGAGGACCAACCAAAACUCUUAUUGUAUACCCCCUCGCGGGUUUUUUUAUAAUCUGAGCCUUCUCGGCGCCUCUCGUAGGCGUUUCGAAAAUGAAUCAAAACUUUCAACAACGGAUCUCUUGGUUCUGGCAUCGAUGAAGAACGCAGCGAAAUGCGAUAAGUAAUGUGAAUUGCAGAAUUCAGUGAAUCAUCGAAUCUUUGAACGCACAUUGCGCCCGCCAGUAUUCUGGCGGGCAUGCCUGUCCGAGCGUCAUUUCAACCCUCGAACCCCUCCGGGGGGUCGGCGUUGGGGAUCGGCCCUGCCUUGGCGGUGGCCGUCUCCGAAAUACAGUGGCGGUCUCGCCGCAGCCUCUCCUGCGCAGUAGUUUGCACACUCGCAUCGGGAGCGCGGCGCGUCCACAGCCGUUAAACACCCAACUUCUGAAAUGUUGACCUCGGAUCAGGUAGGAAUACCCGCUGAACUUAAGCAUAUCAAUAAGCGGAGGA